This 469-nucleotide ribosomal RNA is filed under the name uncultured bacterium. Its description in RNAcentral is "partial 16S ribosomal RNA". It matches the Rfam family "Bacterial small subunit ribosomal RNA", at positions 34 to 507 of the family's 1533-position model. The record is from RNAcentral.
UUCCUCCCGCUGGCGGCGUGCUUACCACCUGCAAGUCGAACGGAAAGGCCCUGCUUUUGUGGGGUGCUCGAGUGGCGAACGGGUGAGUAACACGUGAGUAACCUGCCCUUGACUUUGGGAUAACUUCAGGAAACUGGGGCUAAUACCGGAUAGGAGCUCCUGCUGCAUGGUGGGGGUUGGAAAGUUUCGGCGGUUGGGGAUGGACUCGCGGCUUAUCAGCUUGUUGGUGGGGUAGUGGCUUACCAAGGCUUUGACGGGUAGCCGGCCUGAGAGGGUGACCGGCCACAUUGGGACUGAGAUACGGCCCAGACUCCUACGGGAGGCAGCAGUGGGGAAUAUUGCACAAUGGGCGGAAGCCUGAUGCAGCAACGCCGCGUGCGGGAUGACGGCCUUCGGGUUGUAAACCGCUUUCGCCUGUGACGAAGCGUGAGUGACGGUAAUGGGUAAAGAAGCACCGGCUAACUACGUG